AUUGAACGCUGGCGGCAGGCCUUACACAUGCAAGUCGAACGGCAGCAUGGUCCGGCUUUCUUGAUUGAUGUCGCGUGUCGAACGGGGGUGUAAUACAUCUGAACAUGCCCUUUAGUGUGGGGUAACUAGUCGGGAGAUUAGCGCAUAUCGCAUACGCCCUGUAGGGGAAAGUGAGGGACCUCAACGCCUCUUGCGAGAUUAACUGCCGAUGUCUGAUUAGCUAGUUGUGGAGGUAAAGGCUCACCAAGGCGACGAUCAGUAGCUGGUCUGAGAGGACGAUCAGCCACACUGGGACUGAGACACGGUCCAGACUCCUACGGGAGGCAGCAGUGGGGAAUUUUGGACAAUGGGCGCAAGCCUGAUCCAGCCAUGCCGCGUGUGUGAAGAAGGCCUUCGGGUUGUAAAGCCCUUUUGUCGGGAAAGAAAAGGAGCAGGUUAAUACCCCGCGUUGCUGACGGUACCGGAAGAAUAAGGACCGGCUAACUACGUG
Molecule: ribosomal RNA, 490 nt
Filed under: uncultured bacterium
Lineage: Bacteria
Description: partial 16S ribosomal RNA
Rfam family: Bacterial small subunit ribosomal RNA
Source: RNAcentral